Phyllopteryx taeniolatus (common seadragon) is the source of this 973-nucleotide non-coding RNA. The record is from the annotation of a RefSeq genome assembly. Lineage: Eukaryota; Metazoa; Chordata; Actinopteri; Syngnathiformes; Syngnathidae.
UCGCUUUCAUUAUGAAUUCUGAAAAUAUCAUUUGAAAGUGAUCUUACAACAGUAACCAUGAAAACGAAUGGAUUCCAAUGCUUUGAUUUCGACAAGGAGAGUGGCGUGUCAUAUGUCGUCACAUCGCAACACAGAAAAAGUCAAGUCACGGGCAUACGCUUUCAGCCGCCUGCACCCAAAAUAGUCCACGCGGAAUCCCGGGUGGACUUCCAGUGCAGCCACGACGACGACAACUAUGACGUCAUGCUGUGGUACCGCCAGAGCAAAGGCCGCCGGCGGCCCAUCGAGCUGGUCGGGUUCAGCCACGUGGGCAACGAGCCCGUCUACAAGGGGAACGGCACUGGCCUGGAAAUAAGACGUGAGGACACGCAGAGAGGCUCUCUCGGCAUUCGCUCUGUCAGAGUGUCAGACACAGAACCAGGUCGCUACCCCAAGCUGCCCACAGUCACCUUGCUCCCGCCUUCGCCCAAGGAGUGUCACAACCAGCAAAGGUGGAAGAAAACGCUAGUGUGCGCCGCCACGGGCUUCUUCCCGGACCACGCGGCCGUGUCCUGGCAGGUCGACGGGCAGGAUGUCACCGCGGGCGUGGCCACGGACGCCAGCGCCCUGCCGGACGGCGGCUUCUACAAGAUGAGCAGCAGGUUGCGCGUGGCGUCAGAUUUGUGGUUGACGCCCGGCAGAGCCUUCACCUGCACGGUCAGCUUCUUUGACGGCAAGGAGACCACGCUGCACUCAAAAACGGUCUACGGCAUCCAAGGUGAAAAAGUGACAAGAGUGAGUUAUUUGAGGGUGGGGCAGAGUGCCAAGCUGUCCUACGCCGUCCUCCUGGUCAAGAGCAGCGUCUAUGCGGCUUUUGUCGGCUUCUUGCUGUGGAAACGUCGGGGUCUGUCCACAAAGCUGAGCCCUUCAUAGUUAGUUGACUUGGGGCUACCUUAAAGGAGCUUGCUGCCAAUAAAGCUUGAAAAAAAAAACA